This 716-nucleotide ribosomal RNA is filed under the name uncultured bacterium. RNAcentral's name for it is "bacterial SSU rRNA". It matches the Rfam family "Bacterial small subunit ribosomal RNA", at positions 771 to 1501 of the family's 1533-position model. The record is from RNAcentral.
AACAGGAUUAGAUACCCUGGUAGUCCACGCCGUAAACGAUGCUAACUCGUUUUUGGGCUUUAGGGUUCAGAGACUAAGCGAAAGUGAUAAGUUAGCCACCUGGGGAGUACGUUCGCAAGAAUGAAACUCAAAGGAAUUGACGGGGGCCCGCACAAGCGGUGGAUUAUGUGGUUUAAUUCGAUGAUACGCGAGGAACCUUACCAAGGCUUAAAUGGGAAUUGACAGUUUCAGAAAUGAGAUUUUCUUCGGACAAUUUUCAAGGUGCUGCAUGGUUGUCGUCAGCUCGUGCCGUGAGGUGUUAGGUUAAGUCCUGCAACGAGCGCAACCCCUGUCACUAGUUGCCAUCAUUAAGUUGGGGACUCUAGUGAGACUGCCUACGCAAGUAGAGAGGAAGGUGGGGAUGACGUCAAGUCAUCACGGCCCUUACGCCUUGGGCCACACACGUAAUACAAUGGCCGGUACAGAGGGCAGCUACACAGCGAUGUGAUGCGAAUCUCGAAAGCCGGUCUCAGUUCGGAUUGGAGUCUGCAACUCGACUCUAUGAAGCUGGAAUCGCUAGUAAUCGCGCAUCAGCCAUGGCGCGGUGAAUACGUUCCCGGGCCUUGUACACACCGCCCGUCAAGCCAUGGAAGUCUGGGGUACCUGAAGUCGGUGACCGUAACAGGAGCUGCCUAGGGUAAAACAGGUAACUAGGGCUAAGUCGUAACAAGGUAGCC